CCGUGCUAGGCGGGGCGCUUGCGGUGCCCUCGUCCGCCUUCGGGCGGAUGCCCGAAAUCCGCCAUAUGCGGGGCUGAACGCUUUCCGAGGCCGUUAACUGCGGGUCGACUGUCGGUGCCGGGUGUUGAGGUUCAGGUCCUGCGCAACGGCGGAUUUGGACAACGGGUCAGGUCCUGACGGAAGCAGCCCACCCAGACACCUCCGGGUGCCGCAGAUCAACCUGGGCUGAGCCUGCAACGCCGGUGGCGGCUCGCAAGUGACGGUCGACGAGAGAUGCACGG
RNAcentral lists this signal recognition particle RNA (281 nucleotides) under Phycisphaerae bacterium. RNAcentral describes it as "signal recognition particle sRNA large type". It matches the Rfam family "Bacterial large signal recognition particle RNA". From Rfam's summary of the family: The signal recognition particle (SRP) is a universally conserved ribonucleoprotein involved in the co-translational targeting of proteins to membranes. The record is from RNAcentral. Lineage: Bacteria; Pseudomonadati; Planctomycetota; Phycisphaerae.